UACAGAGGGUGCAAGCGUUAAUCGGAAUUACUGGGCGUAAAGCGUGCGUAGUCGGUUAUUUAAGUCGGGCGUGAAAGCCCCGGGCUCAACCUGGGAAUUGCGUUCGAUACUGGAUAGCUAGAGUUCGGCAGAGGGAAGCGGAAUUUCGGGUGUAGCGGUGAAAUGCGUAGAUAUCCUGAGGAACACCGGUGGCGAAAGCGGCGCGCUGGAUCCCUUCUGACGCUGAGGCGCGAAAGCCAGGGGAGCAAACGGG
This 253-nucleotide ribosomal RNA is filed under the name uncultured bacterium. Its description in RNAcentral is "partial 16S ribosomal RNA". It matches the Rfam family "Bacterial small subunit ribosomal RNA", at positions 524 to 776 of the family's 1533-position model. The record is from RNAcentral.